CCCACCAAAAAUAACAAGAAAGAAAGAAAGAAAAAGAUAUAAAAGUCUACUUCUUCACUUGCAGGUGUCUGCGUGUUUAGGGGAAGUAAGUCAAAUUUGCAAUUCUACUUUGGACGAGCGAGCCUGACCAGGAUAAGUUACGGCUACGUUAACCCUGUGAUCGAGUUGGACUGCACUCGAGGGACUGCAACGUUUCGAAAGAUGGCAGGCACGUAAAAGCGCACGGAUGAUUUAUUAACAGGUGUUUGACCAGUACCUGGACUAGGAAAAAGACCGGGCUGAGCACAAAGAGAAUGACGAAUUGGAUGAAGGGAUAAAUAAUUGAGCAGUUCUCUGGAAAAAGAAUUCACAUGACAAAAUUGGAAAUUGGGCGUACCUGCUUUGGUUCUAGGUUUAUUGAAUUAAUAAUAGUAAGGAUUUCUACCGA
Bombus huntii is the source of this 427-nucleotide long non-coding RNA. RefSeq lists it as uncharacterized. NCBI's taxonomy places the organism in Eukaryota, Metazoa, Arthropoda, Insecta, Hymenoptera, Apidae. The transcript is spliced from 2 exons. The record is from RefSeq and is a predicted model, not a curated record.